AGAGAGAGGUAUUGGAAUUGAAUUUUGAGAUUCUUCUUUCUCACCAAUUUCCCAUUUCCACUGAGCAGGACUUGCAGUUUCCAAGCCAGAUAUGAUUCACCAUCUAGAGCAAGGGGGAGUGCCAUGGAGGGCAGAGGAAGAAGUCCUAAGAUGGGGCUGCCCAGCUUCCAGGCAUGGCUGCUCCUCUGUGUGCUUCACCUCCAUCACAGCUCCACCUGCUCUGAUGCUGACGUUUCUUCAUUAUCCCUGUGCUUCUCUGGGGAUUCACGAGCUUUAAUCCUUCAUGCUGCAGGAAUAAUCCUGGCCCUUGGCUGUGAAGAAUGCUGGCAGGCAAGUGCAGGUGUUAGGAUUAGACUUUGUAGUGGAGUGGCUGAAGUGUCAACAGAGAAAAGCUUCCCACUCCCACUGAAACUGGGCAAAAAAGGAAAGGAGAAGAAAAAGAAGAGAACGAGGAAGUGGAAAAUGUCAUCAUUGCAGAUGGCAAGCGGGAGAGAAGCUCACUCAGGUUUCCACACUGAUCGUUUGGAAAGUGACAGCCUUUGCAAUUUCCUGGAAUGCAAACAGUUCUGAGGAUUGAUCUCUCAAAUAGUAUCCCAAGCCUCCAGGAUCCCUGGCUGCCCUUCUAUUAAUAUUGAUUAACAUGCUUAAAAUCCUUCUCACAUUCAUAGUUUAUGAC
This 676-nucleotide long non-coding RNA is filed under the name Vombatus ursinus (common wombat). RNAcentral describes it as "lncRNA (ENSVURG00010012977.1)". The record is from RNAcentral. Lineage: Eukaryota; Metazoa; Chordata; Mammalia; Diprotodontia; Vombatidae.